RNAcentral lists this ribosomal RNA (484 nucleotides) under uncultured bacterium. Its description in RNAcentral is "bacterial SSU rRNA". It matches the Rfam family "Bacterial small subunit ribosomal RNA", at positions 28 to 526 of the family's 1533-position model. The record is from RNAcentral.
GACGAACGCUGGCGGCGUGCCUAAUACAUGCAAGUCGAACGGAGUUAAAGACUUCGGUUUUUAACUUAGUGGCGAACGGGUGAGUAACGCGUGAGCAACCUGACUCAAAGAGGGGGACAACAGCUGGAAACGGCUGCUAAUACCGCAUAAGACCACAACGCGGCAUCGCGAAGGGGUCAAAGAUUUAUCGCUUUGAGAGGGGCUCGCGUCCCAUUAGAUAGUUGGUGAGGUAACGGCCCACCAAGUCCGCGAUGGGUAGCCGAGCUGAGAGGCUGAUCGGCCACACUGGAACUGAGACACGGUCCAGACUCCUACGGGAGGCAGCAGUAGGGAAUAUUGGGCAAUGGGCGCAAGCCUGACCCAGCAACGCCGCGUGAGGGAAGAAGGUUUUCGGAUUGUAAACCUCUGUCCUAUGUGACGAAGGAAGUGACGGUAGCAUAGGAGGAAGCCCCGGCUAACUACGUGCCAGCCGCCGCAGUAAAAC